Molecule: long non-coding RNA, 3042 nt
Organism: Conger conger (European conger)
Lineage: Eukaryota; Metazoa; Chordata; Actinopteri; Anguilliformes; Congridae
Exons: 3
Source: RefSeq, a predicted model, not a curated record
AAGAGUGCCACAAGUGAUUCCAGAUUAGUUUACAAAACCAUAUAAAAAUAGAAAAUGGCGGACCAGUUCAUUGUUUGUGUGUCUCAAAACCCCGUGUUAUAUGAUAAGGAACAUCAACAGUACAAAGAUAAUGACGUUAAGGACAACGUGUGGACCAGCAUCGCCGAACAACUCGGCUAUCAGGAUUUUGAAGAUGCUAAGAAACUAUGGAAGAGCCUCAGGGACACAUAUCGGAAGAAAAGAGAGGAGAAAGACACAACCAGUGGAGUCGAGUGAGGAGGUAGAGGACCACAUCGUCAUCACUGGAUGAAGCUGAAUCCAUGUUUUUUUCGUUCUGAAACUUAGGCGAAUCUUUUGUUAAAAAAAAAUAAAUAAAUAAAAAGUCUCGCAAAGUCGCAAAUUCGCAUCGCGUCCGGUGUGUAAGGACCUUUAGUCAUGAAAGUUCCACUUUUCAGAACAUUGUGAGCUAACUUGCUGUUCGUAACACGGUCAGUCUACUUUACAGUUUUCUUUAGGCAACAAUCAUUUUUUAUUAUUCAAUCGUUUAAAGGUAUUUGAAAACGCAUUUUUAGAAGCCUAAAUUUCCCACAAUACAAGUUCACCCGAACUUUGAUAAUGAGCGUGUUUAUGAGACCUGUCAAUUAGUUAUGACGUGCCCCUACUUUCCUGUAGGCCAGCGGCGCAAACUGUGGGUCACAAUUUAUAGGGGAGUGGUUAUCCUCGUGUGACGUACUACUAGGAGAACAUUGUCAACCGGUUGAAAAUAGGAUUCUGCAUUUUAAACAAAAGACACAAUAUAGCAUUAUUUAUAGAAUCUGCAUGCUACCGCCCUCUGCAGGGUUGAUACAAAACUGCCUAUAACUAUUUGUUGGGAAAUAGUUAAGCCUAUUUUAUUCACAUUGAUUUAAUUUAAUAUUGAGCCGGGAAGUAGUAGAAGCUGCGACAUUAUUGAGAGACUCCAACAGCACCACUUAUUUAACAUAUGCUUCUUGAAAACACAAUGUGAAAAAUUAGUGUGAUAUUCAACAAUCUCAAAGAACAGCACUACGAGAGAGUUCAGACGUUCAGAUCAUUUUUGGCAACCCAAUAUUCCAAUUAGCACACCCUCAUGCUAUGAAAGUACUGUCAUUAUAUGGGGUUAUAGGCUACGAGAUGCAAAUAAAAAGAGAAAGAGAGAGUCAGACGGAGGAGAGAGAUGAAAGGAGGGUGGCAGAUGCAGAGUCAGUGGGGAGUUUGGAGAAAGAUUUGAGAGGGGGGAGUGAGGCGGCGACAGGGGUAGCAAAGCAAAAACGUAUGGAUUACUGCGCAGUCUGAUCGCCCCUGAAAAGCCUGGUGAGAUGGAUUACAAAUGUAUUGUGGAUGAAUUGCAGAGUCGCCACCUAAUGCUCGCCAUGCUAAUAACCAGGGAUAUUAAUCACUGCAUACAUAACAGUUUCCACCACCUCAUUGCAAUUAUCCUGGUAGCUAGCAAUAGCAUCCGUUGGGGGAUUUGUUUCCAAAAUGACUUGAACCACACAUCAGUGUAUUCAAAUUUUAUACUGUAAAAAUAAACGUAAAUGGAAACCCGAAAUGGGGUGCAGUAGAUUUGUGGAAAAAAGAGAUUAAAUCCGCAGUGCUGAAACCGCCACAAAAAAAAUAGUGUUACCUCCUGUUGUGCAUUCCAAAAAAUGUAUGGAAGCUUUGAUAAGACUGGUGAAACUGUUGAUUUUCUUGAGAGACUUCCAGAAAAAUACAGUGCACACAACGGAAUGGAGAAACCUGGAGAUAACAUACCAGUCUUAUCCUGUAUGGACGGUUUGCGGAAAGAGCUAAAAGGAUACCUGCCUUCGGGAAAUGGCUCCCCAGGGUAAUGUCUCGUUCCAAAACCCUGGUGGCUGCCCCGGAUGAUGUGCAAGAGGGUUAUUGGGACACAAAUGCUGAUGAAGAAGGUGGAUGAUGCAGCAAAUGAACACCUCAUGACUGUCCAAGUGCAGGCACUGCAUCCAGACUGGGGUAUCACUGCAGGUCCAGGAUAUGUGAACAUGCAAUCAGUAAUUUAUGAGCAAGCAGAUUAUUAUGGUUAGUCAAUGAUAGUCUGUAAGAGUUACCCAAUCUUUUUACCUCUCUUGACAAGAGUGGGAGGGUUUUUGGUUGUGUGGCUCAGGGACAUUGGUCAUCUUUUUGGGACAGAGCGCAGAGAGCAUAUUUUAUACAAUAUAUAACUGAACAUAGGAAACUGCAUGAUAUAGCAGGUUGUUCACUGUUUAGGUUAUUGGCCUCUGCAAGUCUGCCCCCAAAAAUGGCUGAUGAUUGGACAGGAUUUCAAUGCAAUUUCCAGGUACAUGGAUGUGACUGUUUAUGGUGUUCAGUUAGACACAGUGCAUUCUGUUUCAAGGUGCGAGUUAAACAUGUGAAGGAGAGAAUAAGCCCUGCACUAUUCCAGGGGGAGUGGCAAUUCCAGGAUAUUCUUCCCUUCUUGGCAUAUUGGAAUAAGGGGAAGCCUAAUGUUAUUCUAAAAGAUUUUGAAAUCCCAGGGACCCAAAAUCGAGAGGCAAAUGGUCUGCAGAGCAUAUCACAAGUAUAUUGGUGAAUAUGAGGCUCAACAAUCCACACUUGAACGACUUGCUGGCAAAUGCACAGUGAAAAAGAAAGCACAACGAAGCAGAGGGCAGUGUAACCAAAGAUUAGAUGAUUGUUUGUAAAUAAUGCUACAGUGGGCAUUACAUGCAAGUGGAUGCUGUAGAGCAAUUCCAUGUACAUGGGGGCAAAGUAAAUGACUAUAAAGUGAUUAAAAAUGAAGUUUGUGAAAUCCAAUAUAGUUUGUGAGACUUAAUAAUCAUAAGGGGGGAAAUGUUGGAAAUAGUAAGUUGAAAUGUAAUGCAUCAUAUACCUGCAUGGUAAUAUGUACCUAAUAUGCAGUCAUAUCAAAAGCCAUAUUUAUGUGAUAAUCAAUGUAAACAAUUGUGUAUUAGGAUGUUUUAUUUGGCUAGGUAAGCAUUGUUUGGCUAGGUAAGUGGUUCAUACAUUGAUCAUACAUUUGCAUGUUGCGGUACUAUGAUUAAA